AAUGGAAAUGUGUGUGUGUGUGUGUGUUUUUUUCCAUCUUUGUUGAUACGUAAUCUCUUUAGUCGGCCUUCAAAUUCCCUGCGUUAUCUUCAAAAUUGAAGGAAUUUCAUCAAAGAAUCUUUGUAUUUGGAGAGGAUUUAUAUGCUUGAAUGAUAGCAGUUAGCCAACCUCACACCUCACCCGUAAGCCAAGCAAAGGAACAAAAGCAAGGUAUGGAGAAAGGAGAAAAUGAAGCUGAUGAUAUAACUAAAUCCAAUCAUGGCAAACUAUGCUACUCUCUUCUUCCCUGAUUUGAAGAGAUGUACAACAAGGCAAGUCAUAAAGGCAAAGGGAAGGUGACGCCUUUCUUCCGGGUUCCAUUCAUCGAGUUGCAUGUGUGCUGAUGAUUUAAGUGAGACUGAAGAACGCAACCUAUACUACUCGUCAAAGCUGAGGUAGCAAUUUUGUCUAAAGUGAUGAAAAAAUUAGGUGAAUGGCUAGUUACUUUCUCAAAUUUAUGGCAUAGUAAGGGUAUGUUUCGAUUAUAGCGCACAGAGCAUAAAAAAAUGCUAAAUUACGAGUUUAAAUAUGAAUGAAUACGAACGGGAUGAGAUAUUUCACUCUUAUGAUCCAGUUCGUCCAAAACUGCAGGUCAUCAAUUCGUGAUAUUGUGUACAGGAUCUAUCUUUCAUAUCAUAUGGCAAAGUUCAUAAAAUUGUAAAUCGAGACACCAUAUUUUAAUUAAAAAAAUCGUUUUCAUAUA
Long non-coding RNA from Cajanus cajan (pigeon pea), 742 nucleotides. RefSeq lists it as uncharacterized. Lineage: Eukaryota; Viridiplantae; Streptophyta; Magnoliopsida; Fabales; Fabaceae. The record is from RefSeq and is a predicted model, not a curated record.